UCUCUAGGGUAGCAGAGAUACUGAAACAGGAAAUAUGCAGACAAGUUGGGCCUGGCUCCCAUGGAAGGACGACAUGCAAAUUCUUGAAGCAUUCCAUAUUUUA
Molecule: small nuclear RNA, 103 nt
Filed under: Meriones unguiculatus (Mongolian gerbil)
Lineage: Eukaryota; Metazoa; Chordata; Mammalia; Rodentia; Muridae
Source: RNAcentral